AUCUACCUGGUUUYCAGGUCGAGUUGUAAUUUGAAGAUACGUUUUUGACGUUCCGGGUUGAACUAAAUCCUUUGGGAUAAGGUAUCAUGGAGGGUGAGAAUCCCGUAUAUACCAACCRUAGGGAUGUUAUUUAAUACGUUUCUAAGAGUCGAGUUGUUUGGGAAUGCAGCUCUAAAUGGGUGGUAAAUUUCACCUAAUGCUAAAUAUAAGCGAGAGACCGAUAGCGAACAAGUACAGUGAUGGAAAGAUGAAAAGAACUUUGAAAAGAGAGUUAAAUAGUACGUGAAAUUGUUGAAAGGGAAACGAUUGAAGUCAGUCAUGCCAGUGGGAAUCAACUUWGAGGAAACUCUGAGUGCACUUCUUCGCUUGGCAGGUCAACGUCGAUUUUGGAUGUCAUAAAAUGAUUGGGGGAAGGUAGCWCWUUCGGGAGUGUUAUAGCCCUUGGUAGAUGUGAUGUCUGGGAUCGAGGAUUGCAAUGGAUACCCUUUGGGGCUAGCCGCCUGAUCUCUAAU
This 512-nucleotide ribosomal RNA is filed under the name Glomeromycotina sp. RNAcentral's name for it is "eukaryotic LSU rRNA". It matches the Rfam family "Eukaryotic large subunit ribosomal RNA", at positions 120 to 645 of the family's 3401-position model. The record is from RNAcentral. Lineage: Eukaryota; Fungi; Glomeromycota.